This 72-nucleotide transfer RNA is filed under the name Camelus bactrianus (Bactrian camel). It matches the Rfam family "tRNA". Rfam says of the family: Transfer RNA (tRNA) molecules are approximately 80 nucleotides in length. Their secondary structure includes four short double-helical elements and three loops (D, anti-codon, and T loops). RNAcentral also lists the same sequence under 2 other names. The record is from Rfam by way of RNAcentral. Lineage: Eukaryota; Metazoa; Chordata; Mammalia; Artiodactyla; Camelidae.
GAAGGUAUAGCUCAGUGGUACAGCACAUGCUUAGUAUGCAUGAGGUCCUGGGUUCAAUCCCCAGUACCUCCU